Phyllostomus hastatus (greater spear-nosed bat) is the source of this 969-nucleotide long non-coding RNA. RefSeq lists it as uncharacterized. The record is from RefSeq and is a predicted model, not a curated record. The transcript is spliced from 3 exons. Lineage: Eukaryota; Metazoa; Chordata; Mammalia; Chiroptera; Phyllostomidae.
GCCUGAAGGGGAACAGCCCGGCAGCCAUCCCGGUGCUUCUCUGCUGAGCCCCAGGCCCCGGGGCUCAGGGACGAUCGGCCCCUCGGCCGUCUGAAGGGUGGCGCGCUUUUUUUUAAGCACCCGCUUCCUGUCUUGGCUCCACGUGGCUCCGUGGGGCACAGUUCCAAGGAAGGCGCUCUCGUGCAGCCCUGGAGCGGUCUGUGAUUCCCGUCGCCAUUGAUCCGACCUGGAGGACCCACGCGGGCAGCCGCGUAAUUGAAACCACGACACCCGGCUGCGCCGCUGCUCCGGGGCGGGGCUCGCUCCGGUCGCCUCGCUCCCCUCUCCCGACUCUGCCGCCGCUCCUCGUCCGGGCGCAGGCCCCUAAGCCGGCAGAGUCUUCGGCGUGGACCGACUCACCGAGUGCAGCCUGGGCAAACCUGGCUCCUUCACCACCCACUGCAACCCAGAGACGGCGUGCCUGCCAUGUGCCCAGUGCCGGGAGGGGUUCCUCGUUUUUCUGAGGAGAAGGCCAUCGGUGUUUUGACAAGGACAGCCUGAGUCUGCGCUUGGCUUUGGACAGCGAGGACGGGGUGACAGAGUUGCUCCUGCCAACCCUGAGCUCAGUGUGUCCUCCAUCGUGUGUCCCCUCUUCGUCUCCUUUCUCGGUUCCUCCAGCCGUCAGGGCGCAGGCUGUCCGCUCUCUGGCUGACCUUGUUCCCGGGUGGUUUCUGCUUUCGGACGCAACCGCAGGAGGGGCUGAUGACACCUCCCUCUGGUUACCCGUCACUGCUGCAUGGAAGUGCACCCGUGUCCACGUUGUGUCCUGUGACCUCACUGCCUUCAUUUCCACCUUCUAACGGGAGUUUGUGGGUCCUCAAACGGUCCUACGUACCGCGUCCUGCCGUCUGCAAGCAGUGCGAAGGCUCCUCCUCCCUCGGAUGUGCUUGCUGUUUGUCUCUGUCUCGCGUGACCGCUGUUGCUCGGACU